UGUCACCCCGUCCUGCUACUCUAAAAUUCUCAGGCAGAAUGCCUUCACCGGCUGUCCCUGUUAUUAAACUCCUGUUGUUGAUGGAAUUCUCCCUCGAGCCCCCUUUGAAGCGACGGGAACCUUCAGCGGUCGCUCGAUGAUCGAAAAACUCGCAGGCUGCUGUUCCCCUCCUUGCCCUCCUCCAAGCCCGUGGCAUCCUCUUGAGGAUGGCCUCCGAGGCAGAGGCCCUGGCGGGGGAACCCCUUAGAGAGGAGUCUGGGGGCUGGAGACGGCAGAAAGACGGCAAAGGCCGGCGUGGAGGACGCUCGGAGUUGGCAGGGGCACCGAUGGAGUGGCUGAGUGGCAAAGCUCUCAAACGAAAGAAAGAUGUCGUCCUUCAGGCGAAUUAAAGCCCUCGGAGGAAGGGUGGGGGGUUUAAAUAGGCAGCGGAUCUUAGCGCAAUUAUGGUGGCGAGUGUCCCUAGACCCACCGGUGCUCGCCACGUGUCCUGCGUGUCCCACUCGCCGCUACCGAGGGCUGACUAUUCGCAAAAUUUUAUGGCGCGACGCUUGGGAUCACGUCCCGCUGGGAGUUCCGAAAAGACUCUUCGGGUCACCCUAAUCGGAAAAAGGGUUCCGACAUGCGCGCAUUAAAUGCCGACAUAUUCGAGGACGAUUGCGCGCGGACGUCAGGGGGAGAACUUCGGCUGCGACAACCUCACUAUACUUCCUUCAUUCGAAAUUC
RNAcentral lists this long non-coding RNA (723 nucleotides) under Elaeis guineensis (African oil palm). Its description in RNAcentral is "long non-coding RNA (EGUI_LNC048661)". The record is from RNAcentral. Lineage: Eukaryota; Viridiplantae; Streptophyta; Magnoliopsida; Arecales; Arecaceae.